This 66-nucleotide transfer RNA is filed under the name Fenusa (Kaliofenusa) sp. 2 GYN-2022b. RNAcentral describes it as "tRNA-Glu". It matches the Rfam family "tRNA". From Rfam's summary of the family: Transfer RNA (tRNA) molecules are approximately 80 nucleotides in length. Their secondary structure includes four short double-helical elements and three loops (D, anti-codon, and T loops). Lineage: Eukaryota; Metazoa; Arthropoda; Insecta; Hymenoptera; Tenthredinidae. The record is from RNAcentral.
AUUUAUAUAGUUUAAAAAACAUUACAUUUUCAUUGUAAAAUUAAGAAUUAUACUUCUUUAUAAAUA